GGGGCUGUAGCUCAGUUGGCUAGAGCACCUGCUUUGCAAGCAGGGGGUCGUGGGUUCGAGUCCCAUCAGCUCCACAA
This 77-nucleotide transfer RNA is filed under the name Acidimicrobiaceae bacterium. RNAcentral describes it as "tRNA-Ala". It matches the Rfam family "tRNA". Rfam says of the family: Transfer RNA (tRNA) molecules are approximately 80 nucleotides in length. Their secondary structure includes four short double-helical elements and three loops (D, anti-codon, and T loops). Lineage: Bacteria; Bacillati; Actinomycetota; Acidimicrobiia; Acidimicrobiales; Acidimicrobiaceae. The record is from RNAcentral.